UGGGGAAUAUUGCACAAUGGGGGAAACCCUGAUGCAGCGACGCCGCGUGAGCGAAGAAGGUUUUCGAAUCGUAAAGCUCUGUCCUAUGGGAAGAUAAUGACGGUACCAUAGGAGGAAGCCCCGGCUAACUACGUGCCAGCAGCCGCGGUAAUACGUAGGGGGCAAGCGUUGUCCGGAAUCACUGGGCGUAAAGGGUUCGCAGGCGGAAAUGCAAGUCAGUUGUGAAAGGCAGAGGCUCAACCUCUGUAAGCAAUUGAAACUGUAUUUCUUGAGAUGUGGAGAGGCAAGUGGAAUUCCUAGUGUAGCGGUGAAAUGCGUAGAUAUUAGGAAGAAUACCGGUGGCGAAGGCGACUUGCUGGACACAAACUGACGCUGAGGAAAGAAAGCGUGGGUAGCAAACAGG
This 403-nucleotide ribosomal RNA is filed under the name Fusobacteriota bacterium. Its description in RNAcentral is "Fusobacteria bacterium partial 16S ribosomal RNA". It matches the Rfam family "Bacterial small subunit ribosomal RNA", at positions 355 to 776 of the family's 1533-position model. Lineage: Bacteria; Fusobacteriati; Fusobacteriota. The record is from RNAcentral.